CCAAAAAUUAGUUAAAAAAUAACAUUAGUUAGUCAGACUGAAAUUAUCAUUUUUUUGAUAUUUUUG
Molecule: transfer RNA, 66 nt
Filed under: Cherax sp. HG-2014a
Lineage: Eukaryota; Metazoa; Arthropoda; Malacostraca; Decapoda; Parastacidae
Description: tRNA-Asp
Source: RNAcentral